GACGAACGCUGGCGGCGUGCUUAACACAUGCAAGUCGAACGGACCUUUUUUGGAAGAAGCCUUCGGGUGGAAAUUAGGAAAGGUUAGUGGCGGACGGGUGAGUAACGCGUAGAUAAUCUACCUUAAAGACUGGGACAACAGUUGGAAACGACUGCUAAUACCGGAUACGCUGCACAUAGGGCAUCCUAGGUGCAGGAAAAGAGGCCUCUUAACAAUGCUCCUGCUUUUAGAUGAGUCUGCGUCUGAUUAGCUAGAUGGUGGGGUAACGGCUUACCAUGGCGACGAUCAGUAGUCGGCCUGAGAGGGUGACCGGCCACAUUGGGACUGAGACACGGCCCAA
This 340-nucleotide ribosomal RNA is filed under the name uncultured bacterium. Its description in RNAcentral is "bacterial SSU rRNA". It matches the Rfam family "Bacterial small subunit ribosomal RNA", at positions 28 to 334 of the family's 1533-position model. The record is from RNAcentral.